AUGAAAGGGAGAUAUUUUCCUGAUGGAGACUUUUGGAACUCAAAAUGUCCAAGAGCAGCAUCUUACACAUGGAGAAGCAUUAUGUAUGGGAAGGAGCUCCUGCGGAGAGGAUUGUUAUGGAGAGUUGGAGACGGAAAACAAAUUUCUAUCAUCCGGGAUAAUUGGAUACCAGACACCAUACAUGAGACAAUGCAAACAUUAAUUCCAGUGGAAGAUAACCAAACAGUGAGCUCUCUAAUCUCUAGUAACGGCUCCACUUGGAAAGAAGAUACUGUUAGAGAACUCUUUGAUCGUGACAUUGCAGAAAGAAUUCUUAAAAUUCCCCUAAGCUCUGAAGGGUGCAGCGACUUUGCUUCCUGGCCAUAUACCAAAAAUGGAAUUUAUACAGUGAGGUCGGGCUACAAUCUAGUAAGAACAAAUCAGUUCUGGAUCAAUCGAAGUUCUGUUGGCAGUGGAUCUUCCUCGAAUCAAGAUGUUAUGCAGAAGUUGUGGAAGAAUCUGUGGAGAAUUCAGUGUCCAGAUAAAAUGAAGAUAGUACUAUGGAGAAUAGCUCACAAUUGCCUUCCUACGGGUGAUCAACUCCACAAACGGUCAAUUGCAACAAGGUAUGAUUGCAUAUAUUGUAACAAGUUUGAGACUCUGGAACACUGCCUCCUUUUGUGCCACUAUGUUAAAGAAAUCUGGGCUGAGCUUAAAAAGUGUUUUAACUUGUCUUUAAAAUUGAAAAGCUUUGUCCAUAUACAACAAUGGCUUCUGGAUUGGAUUUCUAGUACCUCAGAUUUACAUGCACUGAUCCUUGCUGUGGCGAUUUGGCAUAUAUGGGAGAACCGGAACAACAUAAGAAAUGGUGAAAAAAUGUCUCAUCCUUCACGUGUGGCAGGCAAGAUCAAAGCUUAUGUCGAUUUCAUCUUAUUGCACAAUUUCAGGUCGGCUGGCUCCAAUAGGCGUGAGCACCAGGUGUCAAUCCCGAAGUGGUCUCCGCCGCCGGCUGAGUCGGUCAAGGUCAAUGUUGAUGCUGCGAUUUUUGCCCAGACUAAACGCAUGGGCAUUGGUGUUGUGAUCCGAAAUCAUCUAGGUCGGGUGCUGGCAGCAAGCAGAGGGUUUAUUCAUCAUGUUGAUAAUCCGGAGCUGGGUGAAGCUAUUGCAAUGCGCCAUGCGUUGUUUUUUGCUGAAGAUUGCGGUUUCCAGAAAAUCCUUGUGGAGACAGAUUGUGCCAGUUUGAUCAACAAAAUUAAGAGUAAAAUGGAUGACAGGUCUCACACAGGUGCUGUAAUUUUUGAUAUUAAGAGUAGGGCUCCAAGGUUCUUAUCCUGUUGUUUUACUCAUGUUAGUCGAAGUUGUAAUGAGGCAGCUCAUGUUCUAGCAAAGUCUGCUGAACAUGAUGAAGGGUCAUGCUGGUUUAAUGUAUCUCCUGAAGUUAUCAGGAAUAUAGUUUGUACUGAACAGUUCUGA
This 1452-nucleotide ribosomal RNA is filed under the name Triticum aestivum (bread wheat). RNAcentral describes it as "partial small subunit ribosomal RNA". The record is from RNAcentral. Lineage: Eukaryota; Viridiplantae; Streptophyta; Magnoliopsida; Poales; Poaceae.